RNAcentral lists this long non-coding RNA (6832 nucleotides) under Nicotiana tabacum (common tobacco). RNAcentral's name for it is "long non-coding RNA (NTAB_LNC012880)". The record is from RNAcentral. Lineage: Eukaryota; Viridiplantae; Streptophyta; Magnoliopsida; Solanales; Solanaceae.
AAAAACCCGAUAAUUCGCAUCCUUAAUUUCCAGCUGAAACUCACAAAAAUGGAGCCUGAACAGAUAGUAGAACCCAGAAUCUAAUGGGAAUGUCCAAUCCAGGCGUUGGCUGUAAUUGGCCAUUGUCCUAGAGGUUGUGUAAACUACGGUUGGCGUAGUAUAAGCGGGGGUUUGAGAAGUGUAAGUGAUGGGGACAUCUAAAUGUAGAGUUCUAAAACCAAGUCCAACAACAAAAUUCUGAUCUGCAGCCCAUUCACGAUACAUCCCCGUAUCCUCUGUGCUACUAACCAGAUUGCCUCCGACGUUCAGCCUGUAUAAAGUUUCAAGAGCAGUGCUGUUAUUGAUGUAAUAAAAAUUAUUCCGCCCCUGUACCAAUUUGAUGCCAUAUUCGUCUCCGCGGAUAUAAAGAUCAGUUGGCAUGGAAACAAUCUCAAUCCCGUUAACAAAAGCAUAAGAGUUUGGUGAAGGAGAAAAAGUUAUAUUGAGUAUUUGACUUUCAUCAACAUGGAUGACGUAUUCUUUUCGAAUUGCUUUACUAGACUCAUCAUCAUCACUAGCAGAGACAGUGAGGAAAGCGCUGAAGUUACUCAAGAGAGUGACAUGAUUAGCAGUAACAGAGAAAAAGGAUUCAGAUUUAUUGAAUCCAGAGUAGUCGGUCGGAUAAAAAUAGAGACGGAGGAAUUUAGUGCCAGGGGAAACAAUGAAAUUGUAGGUGAAUUGAGAUUGGAAAAUACGGGCACUCAUAUAAUAGACUCUAGUGACCUGUCCAGAAGCGUUGGCUGUUGUAGAUAUGCUUGAAAAAUCUGAAGGUAAGGAAUCUGGAUAGUUGGCAUCAGUACUCCAUAGACGGUCUUCGUCUAUAGCGUCUGAUGAUGCGCCACAGUUGAGCAAGAAAUGGACUGUGGCAUUGUACUGUGGCCUGAGAGCCAUAGUGACUGUCGUGAGAUGUAAUAGGACAAAGGAAAGCAAAGCAAUGGCUACCAUGGUGUUGCUAGUAAAAUUUCUGUAUUUGGCUACCAUGGCAUUUUUAUGACUUCUUUGACAAUCAACAAUUAUACUGCACAAUUGCCAAGACUUGAUUGUUGACUCUCAAUUCACUUGAGUUAUUUCUAAUUUUCCAUUUGGUUGAAAGCUGCCGUUCCGAGACUAUUUCCUUAGUCAUUGGUCGUUUUAUUUACUUUAUUGUUUAAGUUUUGUUAAGAAGAAAUAUCUUAAUAACUUGUUGUAAUCAGUUCAAUUGAAUUGAUGGUGUAAAAUUUCUUUAAUAUUAUCAAGUAUAUUAUUUUUAAGUUAUUUCAGUCCAAGUUGGAGGUCUGUUAGUGUGAGGGGUAAGAGUGAGCCAAAAAACUAACUAGUGCAGAGAUUGUGGUAAGAUUGGCGAAAUAUGUUUCUGUUCGAAUACUUCUGACUAUCAUAAAUCAAGAAAAAAUAAAGUCGAUCAGUGAAUGCAAAGUAUCAUUGCUCACUACUAUUACCAUAUAUAUAUGUUGGACACUAAUUCAACCAGAAAAAAUGAAUAUCUAUGAAAUGGAGAGAAGUAGGAAUUAAGUGUACCACUUAGCAGGUUCAGUAAGUAGUUUAUACUUUGCAUUUCCAUUCAAUUUGAUAUUUACAACGAGGGAAUACUCCUGUUAUGUCUGAGUAUGGCCUAAAUUAAAAAUCAACACCCGCUAAAUUUCUUGAUGGAGAACAAAAAAGAAGGUAAAAGUAGCAAAUAGCCAGUUUACACAGAAUAUUCUUGUUGCUUAAUUUCUUUUUCUUUAAUUAUAAAGCAUCACAUCUUUUUAAUUAUCACUUCACUCUAAUUAUCAUUAGAAUAUUAUAGUGAGUGAAUAUUCAGAAACAUAUUUCUCGCCAAAUCUUCACCAAACAAACGGAAGGAAAGAGAAUAGAACACAAUCAAUUUUCUUUUAUAAACCUUUUUUUAUGCCUCCCAGGAGCUAUCCACUUUGCUUUCUUGGUGACUCGAACCCGCAAUCUCACAAUUAGCGAUGGAGAAUGCUUACCACUUGAGCAACCUUCUCUUGUCGAACAUAACCAAGUUUGGUUCUAUAUGUUGGGUUUUAAAGAUAAAAUCUCCAACACGUUAUAUAUGCCGGAGUUGAUUACUUGGAGAAGCUUGAACUCUGGCAUUAUGUGCUGAAGUUUUUCCAUAUUUUAGUUAAGAGUCUACAUUUGAAUUUGUGAUUGUUUUUCAAUAUAUGUCUGAAAUUCUAAAGGGCUUCUACUUAGGAAUUAGCAAAUAUGUCUUGAAUUUUAAAUUUUCAAGACACAAUCCUGAAUUACUCUGAAACUAAGAUUUUUAAUGCAAAUUUUCAGGACAAAAUAAAUAUUGGUUAAUCCCUAAAUAGCAGCCUUAAGAAUGGAUGUUUGUGCACUUUCCCCUAAAGUGGACACUCAGUACCAUUUUUACUAAGAAGAUCUACUAACUGGACUGUCGAAACAACCUGUUGGGCUGAUCUAUAACCUUAUUUACUGUUUUGGGCUAGUUUUUGAAUGUUGCCCACGGACUAACGAGUCACAAAAGGGCCUAAAAUCUAUUAGCAAGAAGGCGACAACUCAUGUUCCUCGUCUCGUCUAAUGUCUACUACUUCCACUCUUACAUUUUAUACGAAUCCACGUAUGAUAACACUAUUUUUUUUUUUUUUGAUUUAUCUCAACAAAAAUAACAUAUUAAUGACAUGCUCUUAUAGCCAUAAAAAUAUCAUGACAUAUUUAAGAACUCUAUCUCGAUGUCUAUAAACUAACAUUCUCACAAAAGGUAGGUAGCUUAUAGCAAGGGAAAUUGAUAAUAUGCCGGGUUCAUUAGAUUCUACCACUGCGAGGCUCAGUUGCUUUUGUUCCAUUACUCAAAUCAUUCAAUGCAUUUAGAGCUAUUUAAGUUGCCAACUAUCAAGUAGCAGAUUAAGUGCAGUAAGUAGAAUACAAUAUAUGAAGUGUUUUUGAGGAGGACUUGAGGGAGAUGUCAUGAAGUUAAUUACUGUGGCAACUGGCAACUCUUAGUUGUUGGUGAUAUGCUUUUCAUCUACGUCCUCAAAUAAAUGGUUUAACUCAUUGAAGGAUUGAGAUAUUAAUUAAUGAUCCAAGAGUUGAACUAGUCAACGAAUGAUGAAGAAAGAUGCAAAGUUAUGAAUUAAAAAUGGGGACCAUAAACCCAAGAAAAAGACAUGGAAAAAAAAGGCGAGGAAAACUUGUUAAUUGGAUAGUCUAUCUUUUCUUGUAGGCCAUGGAAACGACUUGUCUUAACACGUAUUAGGCGUUUGACAUAAUUUUCUUACCCUAUUUGGUUUUUCUAUUUGUUGAAGGAAAUGACAAUAUAAUUAACUUAAUUAGGUUUUUCUUUUUGUAGAAGGAAAUUAUAAUUCUCAUAUACUUGGCUAGUCCUUUUUCUUGUAGGAAAAGGUUUGGAGUUCUAUAAAUUGAAGAUUCGUGCUUCUCAUUCAGUAGCAUCCACAAUGUAGCCAUAGGGGGCUUGAGAGUCUUGUUUAGAGGGAGAACUUUACGGGACAAGUGUUAGUGUGUCACUUGUGUUUGCCUCUUCGUAAGGUUGUUCUCUCGAUAUUUUGUACUCUCUUUUUAUAUAGUGGAUUGCUCAUUUCAGUGGUGGACGUAGGUCAGUUGACGGAACCACGUUAAAUGUUUGUGUCUCUUUUGUUAUAUUUCUCCUUUGUUGUAUGAUUUAUCGUCGUUCAAGGUUUGCUUUGUUAGCUUCCGUAUGACACUUGAUUUUUACUUCCUAACAGUACUAAGUUGCCUUUCAUUUUCAUAGUCUGUUAUUUUCCGUUCAAUAAUUCCAGUGGAGCCAUCGGCCAGAUAUAGACAUAUUUCACAUACACGUGAAAUGAAAGGCAUAUAUUGGGUGAUUUUUCUUCAGAAUUUGGAUGAUUCUUUGUUACUCAUAUUUUGAUCAGACUUUUCAACACUUAAUGAGUUGUAAGACAUUAACUUUUUCUUUUGAUAAUUUUGUGAAAAAAGUUGCGGAGCCCUACAUGUUCAUAUUUAAAUACGUGUAACGACACAUCAAAUAAUUAAGAGUCAUAAAUUUCAGGUAGGGAAAAAAAUUAAUUACCCGUAAUUACUACUUCCACCCCUAUAGUGCCAUGUUUAUUGGGUCUAAGACAAACAAACAAAACGAAGAAGAAAAGUAGAAGUCACUCAUUUAUUACUGGGCCAUGAACAUGAUAUAGCAACCUUUUCUUGUUCCUAUUCAUUUUAUGUUGUUUCCUUUUCUUGAUAUGAUUUAUUUUCUUCUGCUUAAAAGUCUUCUCCGUAUGGCAGUAUGCCAGACAUAUACUUUAGAAUAAAUUCUCAAACCACCUAACCUUAUUAACUCGACAUUAGUCGUUUAUCCAAUAAUUAAUGGAACUUUAUUCUACCCAAGAAAAAAUAGUAAAACUUUAUAAUAGCUAUAUAAUUCCAAAAUAUUCGCUACAAUUCAUUGAUAUUAUAAGGAAAUUUACUCAACAAAGGAAAAAGAAAAAAGAGAAGAUCUAAUAUUUAAUUCAUCAGUUUGUAACAAUCUCAUUGACCAGAUGGAUUCAGGAUCUCAGAGAAAAUGGUGUCGCACGCUAUUCAAUUUAUCACUAUAACAACAUGUCAUGGAUGUAGCACUACUUUUCGAGUUGGAAACUAACUUGAAGCGGAAAACCCCGUCAUUUUCCAGAAGAGCGCGCUAAUAUGUAACUUAUCGUGCUACCCAUAACAAUUUCAUCUGCCUAAUGGAUUUCGAAUCUCAGAGAAAAUAGUGCCACUCUUCAAUUUGUCACUACUGGUCAUGGAGCUACCACUGCUUGUCCACUUGCCUCCAACUUCACCUGAACCUGAAAAAGCCUCACUUUCAUCUGUCGAUAUAUUGGUUUGAUCAUUCAAAAUCAUGGGGAGAGAAGGGCUAGCCGGGUAGCUGUACCCUUCCACUGUGUGACCUCUAUUAUCUGCAGCUUCUUGAAGUUGUAAUGCAAAUUCUAAAGUCCACACAACAUCACUCAUUGGUGGCCUUUGGACCCCUUGAUCCUUCAAACAACUAGAUGCUACUUCUGCAAACUUGCUUAAACACUCUGGUGCAAUUUGUCCUUCCAAACAAGGAUCAAUUAUCUGAUCAAGAUUCCCUUUUCUACAGCACCUACAAGCCCAAUCAGCCAAAUUCACUUGGCCUUUUGGCAAGUUUUGAAUUAUUGCUGGCCUAGCGCACAACACUUCAAAUAGUACCACUCCAAAGGAAUACACAUCUGAUUUUUCUGUCAAUUGUUGUCGCUUGUAGUAUUCAGGGUCUAAGUACCCAAAACUUCCUUUCACCGCCGUGCUAACGUGAGUAAUAUCUGUCCCACCAAGCGGACCAACUUUGGACAAUCCAAAAUCUGACACCUUAGCGACCCAUUUAUCGUCCAAUAAAAUGUUAGUCGACUUGACAUCUCGGUGAAUGAUGGUGUGCUUUGUACCUAUUAAAUUAAUUUCAGAAUCAUAACAACUAUACUUUAUCAAAUAGUAUAACAAUAAAGUCACUAAUUUUACCCGCUAUAAACCACAAAACCUACCAAUCAUCAUGGCAACUUUAAGCUUAAAGUGGAUUAAAUUACUUCAACAUGAAAAAUAAUAGACUUUUAUCAUUGUAAAGUUUAGUGACGAUAGUUGAAAUUAACCAUAUACCUGUAUGGAGAUAACACAAUCCUUUUGCUGCGCCAAUACAAAUCUCAAGGCGUUUCUUCCAUGGAAGAGGAACAUUAUUAGAUCUGUACAAGUGAUCGCGUAGGGUUCCAUGAGUCAUGUAAUCAUAAACCAAGAUCAUCUCAUAGUUAUCAUCACAAUAACCAAUCAAGGACACCAGAUGCAAAUGCCUUAGCUUCGAUAGCAUCUCAAUCUCUGUUUGGAACUCGCGAGCUCCUUGCUUUGACGAAGGAUUCAGUCUCUUGACUGCAACAAUGGUUGUACCAUUGUCUAUGCACCCUUUAUACACAUUACCAAAACCUCCAUAGCCAAUCACAAAAUUGUCAUCAAAAUUGCCUGUUGCGGCUUUAAUCUCAUCUAAUAAAAAGUGUCUGCACAAAUCGGACGGUAGCGUUGAUGAGCCUGAGCGGCCGGUCUUUUGAGUUGACUCCGACUUAAUUGACAUCCACGAUGUCUUUGUAACGCUUCCACCGGAAUCUUUCCCACUUUUCCGUCGACGGAAAAUAAAAAACCCCAGAAUUGAGAGAACAGCUAAUGCGCUAAUCACACCUGCAAUGACAUAAAUAACGGUAUGCGAUGAUUUUUUAUCUUUGUUGAUUGGUGGUGAAUUAAUCGGAACUUGUAAGUGCGAUUCAGGAUUUGGCACGGCCAGAUUUCCAUGUGUGUCAUUCAAUUUGAAAAUUUCUAAGCCAUUUAAGAUAGCAUUAGCAUACACAGCUUUUGUUUCCAUGUUAGGGCGCAAUUCAAGCACUUCAUCUUCCUUGCUUCGCCGGCCAUCUGUGUCUCUCACAUACACCACGUAGUCUCUGUAAACCGGGAUUCUCCAGCCGCCGCUCCAUUGUAUUACAUCAGCCAAUUCCUCUGCCGUUUGGUUUCCAAUGGAUAUAUCAAAAACCCGAUAAUUCGCAUCCUUAAUUUCCAGCUGAAACUCACAAAAAUGGAGCCUGAACAGAUAGUAGAACCCAGAAUCUAAUGGGAAUGUCCAAUCCAGGCGUUGGCUGUAAUUGGCCAUUGUCCUAGAGGUUGUGUAAACUAUUGUUGGCGCAGUAUAAGCCGGGGUUUGAGAAGUGUAAGUAAUGGGGACAUCUAAAUGUGGAGUUUGAAAACCAAGUGCAACAACAAAAUUCUGAUCUGCAGCCCAUUCGCGAUACAUCCCUGUAUCCUCUUUGCU